UGGUCAAGUUAUUAAGGGUGCAGGGCGGAUGCCUUGGCACUAGGAGCCGAUGAAGGACGUGAUAAGCUGCGAUAAGCUUCGGGGAGUUGCACGUAAACUUUGAUCCGAAGAUUUCCGAAUGAGGAAACUCACUUAGAGUAAUGUCUAAGUAUCAUUAAGUGAAUACAUAGCUUAAUGAGGGGAACUCAGGGAACUGAAACAUCUA
This 205-nucleotide ribosomal RNA is filed under the name Clostridioides difficile. RNAcentral's name for it is "partial 23S ribosomal RNA". It matches the Rfam family "Bacterial large subunit ribosomal RNA", at positions 1 to 204 of the family's 2925-position model. The record is from RNAcentral. Lineage: Bacteria; Bacillati; Bacillota; Clostridia; Peptostreptococcales; Peptostreptococcaceae.